GGCUGGUCCUGCAGGCGGAGAAGGCUGCAAGCCCGCGGAGACAGGAGCGAGGCGGAGUGCCCUGGACGGCUGGAACGUGGAGAAACCAUGGCGGCCGCUCCAGCUCACCCUCCUGGGCUCGUUGCUGGCCCAGGUCGUGGUGGGGAGCGCCCCGGAGCGUCCCCGCCCUGCUCCCUUGGCUCCCGCCUCCUGCGGCCGUGCAGCGCCUCCUCGCCCGCCCCCGGCUCCGCCCGCCGUCGCUACAGCUCCUCGCGCUAACGGUCGGUGGCAGCCCGCGUGCGCCGCCCUCCGGGGGCUCGCGCCUGCCACGAGGGAGCGUCCGCGGCCCGUGCGCCCAGCCGCAGAGGAGAGGUGAGCCCCGGCCGGGCCGCGUCCCCUGCCUGCCGCGCAGCCGGCCUCCGCGCGGGGACCGUCUCUGUGUCCCCUCGUGGGCCAGGAGGACGUGGCGCGGCCCGGUUUGUGGACUGCGGGAGUAUCCGACCCGCCUCUGUGGGUGUCACCGGGUGUCGGCCGGCGCGCGUGGGCGUGUCCUCCCGGUCCACGCGUGUUCUCUCCAUCACUGUCGCCUUUCGUUCGGGACGACGGUUUCAGAAAUGGAGCCAUGGAGGGUCUCACAGUGGAGCUCAGGCUGGCCUCAAGUCACAGUCUUCCUGCCUCCCCCACCCACCAAGCGCUGGAAUUACAGGAUCCUGUUGUGCAGCCCGGGCUGGCCUGGAACUUCACAGUCCUCCUGCCUCCAGCAUCCUGAGUGUUUGCAUUGCAGUGCUACAGUGAACAUUGGGAUGUUAAUAUCUCUUCAAGAUCCUGACUGCAGAUUUUUUUUGAGAAAUACCCAGAAGUGGAAUUGCUGCAUCACUGUGAUAGCUAUCUUUCAGAGCAACUAGAUAUAAAAGAGAUGAUAGUAAACUGAGUCACAGAAAGAUUAAUUUGUCCAAAGAUACAGAAACAGAAAGUGACAGAACCUGGCAUCUUAACCACUAUAUUUCAACUGCCUCCAACAUUUGGAAGGGAACAAUGUUUGUGAUGCUGCUACAGUAGACCUUUGAUGAUGUCAAUAAGGAGACAUCCCCACUUUCUUUGGUUAAAAGUCUCAGAGACUUUAAGGAUCGCUGCCUGCCAAGAAGAAAGCAUGGUGAACCACAAGCUGUUGCUAUUUCACUGAACCACUCCACAGAUGGUCCAUGGCUGCUGAGCAGAGUGAACCUCAGGAUAGACUGCACUGGUCCCCGACAAGGCCACCCUCACCAGCAGAUGAGGUGUUAAUGGAUUAUUCCUGGUAAUGGGUUUCCCUUCGUCUCUUUAUUAAAUUCCAAGCUGUUACCUAGACUACAUCCCACUAUAUCUAAUUAAUGUACUAAUCAACUUUGUUUUGAAUGGAAAUGAAGAAAAUCUGUUGAUACUCCUGCUGGCAGAAUAAGAAAUAUGCCUACUGUGGAGUAUCUUUUUCCAUUAUGAAGAAAAUUUAAUCUCUGUCAUCCUCAAAAGUGAAAAAUUAUUUUGUAGUUGGAUUCCUGCUUGUAUGGCUUGGGGUUAUCCUAGUUUCCAAGUGACUAUUUGUUUCAGAAAGAUUCUCUCCAGAAGCCAUUCAUAAGGCUGUUAAAUUCUUUAAUAAAGAAUUGGAAGCCAAAUUAACUAGGCUAGAAACACGGAUAAUCAGUUGGCAGUAGACUGAUGUCCAGCCCCCUGAAUUUUUAACUGCUGCAGAACUGAGUGACCCAGCUGUGGGUCCCACUCCAAGUCUUCCAAUCUGAGAGCAGCCACCAUGCCAUCAUCUCACUCUGUCCUCCAGUUGUCUUGUGUAUCUCCCAGCAUCCAUAUGUGUGAUCCCUCCACACAGCGAUGCCCUCUGAUGACAUAUUGAGCAUGACAGCCAUGAGAGCCAUGAGCAUGUCCCAGCCACUGUGCUAUACCUUUAAAUCUUCUGUUCCAAUGACAACCAUUUGAAAAUGGGAAGAAUAAUCCCAUUUUUCACAUUUCAAAAUAAGACUUUGGAUAGAUUAUGUAUCUUGUCUGUAGCCACACAGCUACUAAUUGGUGAAGUAAGGAUUUUUGUCCACUUCCUACCCAAACCCCAGCCAUCAACUCUGUCAUCUCUAUUAAGAUUCUGGCUUCCCUAAAUAAAUACAUGAAAAAAUGUUCAACAUCACUGGUCAUUCGAGAGAUGCAAAUGAAAACAAAGCUGAGAUUCCACCUCACCCUGGAAAGAAUGGCUGCUAUCAUGAAAUCAACCAAUAACACAUGCUGGCAGGGCUGUGGGGAAAGAGGAACCCUGCUCCACUGCUGGUAGGAGUGUAGACUGGUGCAACCACUGUGGAAAUCAGUAUGGAGAUACCUCAAAGAACUAGGACUGGAAGUCCCAUUCAACCCAGGUAUUCCCCUGCUGGGGAUCUACCACAAAGAAUUAAAAGAAUCAUACCACAGUGAUAUAUGUGCACCCAUGUUCAUAGCAGCACAGUUUGUAAUAGCUAAAACUUGGAAACAGCCCAAAUGCCCAUCAACUGGAGAUUGGAUAAAGAAAAUGUGGGUUUUUUUUUAUAAAAUGGAGUAUUACUCAGCCAUAAAAAAUGAGAAAUUAGAGACAUUUAUAGCUAAGUGAAUGCACAUUGAGGCGAUACUCUUAAGUGAAAUAAAUAGGACACACAUGUAUAAAUUCCGAAUAGUUUCUCUGGUGUGAGAAACUGAAAGUGUAAAUAAGGACUAAAUGUAUAAUAGGUCAUGUGAAAUAGAAAGAAAAGGGGCAAAGGGGAAGGAAGUGGGAGGACUAGGGGAAAGGAUAGAAGGGAAUGGGAUUAAUAUGAGAAAAUGGAAAAAUAGGAACAAAAUCUUUGUAAAUAGGGAGGACUGGAGGGGUUGAAGGGAGGGCUGGGCAAGGGUGAAAAACAAGAACCAAGAGAGACUAUGUAAAGGUCCACAUUUCCAAUGAUGAAUGUCAUUACAUUGUAUACCUAAAAUGUACCAAUGAUUAGAAUGAAUAAUCGAUAAUGUAAAAUAGGAAGAAAAGAUCCAAAGGGGUAGGGGUAGUGGGAGGGGCAGGGGAAAGGAAAGAAGGGAAAGGAAAAAUGCUGAGAAAUGGAAAAAAUGGAAAUAAAGUCUUUGUAAAUAGGGAAGGGUGGAGGGCGUGAAGGGAGGGCUAGGAAUGGGGAAAAAAUAAGAACCAAGAUGCAUUAUGUAAAGGUACAAUUCCCAAUGAGAAAUGUAAUUGUGUUGUAUACCUACAAUGUACCAAUAAAAGAAUUUAAUUAAAAAAAAAAGAAAGAAACAUAUACCCUAAUUGAAAAGAAUAAUCCAAAAAAAAAAAAAAAAGAUUCUGGCUUCCCUGAAGCAACUGUUACAGGCUGGAAGACAUGGGCCACAGACAACUUUUAAAUAUGAAAUGAUAAUUCUUUGCCUACUGAGAUUCUUUUUUUAAAAAAAUCCACAGGAAGAGUGCAUUUAUAUAUUUAUUUAACAUUUAUGUGCAAUGUCUACAUUUACAAAGUGUUUUACAGUGUAAUAGAAUGGGCACAAAUUUUUUAUCUGGGCACAUAAUUGUCUUUUCUUUCAUAUUCAUUUGUUCCUUUGAUUUAAUGUGUUUUCCAUUUGGUCUUCGGAGAUCAUGUACAAUGGUGACAAAUUUAGAAUAAUAAUAAAAGAUUAUUUUAUAUCACUCAUAAGGAAAACUGAUUAAAGCCAUGCAUGUCUCUACUCUGUAUAAAUAUUAUGCAAGAAAGCAUUAUAUUGUUCCCAGAAUAUUGUCUGUAACAUUAGCUGUACUAAAUUUAAAAAUAUACUUACC
RNAcentral lists this long non-coding RNA (3775 nucleotides) under Heterocephalus glaber (naked mole-rat). RNAcentral's name for it is "lncRNA (ENSHGLG00100027032.2)". Lineage: Eukaryota; Metazoa; Chordata; Mammalia; Rodentia; Bathyergidae. The record is from RNAcentral.